CCUACGGGCGGCAGCAGUAGGGAAUAUUGCUCAAUGGGGGAAACCCUGAAGCAGCAACGCCGCGUGGAGGAUGAAGGUUUUCGGAUUGUAAACUCCUUUUGUUAGAGGAGAUAAUGACGGUAUCUAACGAAUAAGCACCGGCUAACUCCGUGCCAGCAGCCGCGGUAAUACGGAGGGUGCAAGCGUUACUCGGAAUCACUGGGCGUAAAGCGCGCGUAGGCGGGAUAGCAAGUCAGAUGUGAAAUCCUAUGGCUUAACCAUAGAACUGCAUUUGAUACUGUUAGUCUAGAGUAUGGGAGAGGUAGGUGGAAUUCUUGGUGUAGGGGUAAAAUCCGUAGAGAUCAAGAGGAAUACUCAUUGCGAAGGCGACCUGCUAGAACAUAACUGACGCUGAUGCGCGAAAGCGUGGGGAGCAAACAGGAUUAGAUACCCUUGUAGUC
Molecule: ribosomal RNA, 440 nt
Filed under: uncultured bacterium
Lineage: Bacteria
Description: partial 16S ribosomal RNA
Rfam family: Bacterial small subunit ribosomal RNA
Source: RNAcentral